UUUUAUGCCAGCAAUCCCCAAGCAAUCAGCCAGGGCAGUCACAUAUUUUAUAUAGCACCCUGGACCAAACGGAAAUCAAGGGGCCUUUGUUUGUUGAGUGUUGACCAAGGGGCGUGCGAGAGGCCUUUUUGUUAUUGACUUUCUGUGAGGGGACAUGAGGCCUUUUUGUUAUUGACUUUCUGUGAGGGGACAUGAGGCCUUUUUGUUAUUGACUUUCUGUGAGGAGACAUUGUGUCUCCGGCGUUCAAUGAUUCAUUUGGACUUGUCUGUGCCUCUCUGACCAUGUGAGACAGGGACACAGGUCUUCUUCUCUGAAUUCGGGCAUGUGUCAGAUUUUUGUUUUAGGUUAGGGC
Molecule: long non-coding RNA, 353 nt
Filed under: Setaria italica (foxtail millet)
Lineage: Eukaryota; Viridiplantae; Streptophyta; Magnoliopsida; Poales; Poaceae
Description: long non-coding RNA (SITA_LNC003140)
Source: RNAcentral